UUCCGAUUGAACCUUCACUUAGUGAAAACAUAUUAAAGUUAAUCGAAAUUGCAUGGUAGACUAUGCUUUGAACCAGCUAUUCCAUUUGGUUAACCGAAUACAUCUCACACAAUGAUUUCAAUACCAAUGAAUGCACAGUAUCUGACGAUGCUUUUAUGGCCAUGAGUCUGUAUCUUCUUUUCAUGAGUGCUGUUAGAGCCAAGCUCUUGAACUCCUAGAAGCGGCCACACUUCACACUCACAUAGGUAGAUCCCAUGAAUGCCCCCGUAACUAAAACAUUCUAACAAAUUAUGUUAUGGGUC
Molecule: long non-coding RNA, 302 nt
Filed under: Theobroma cacao (cacao)
Lineage: Eukaryota; Viridiplantae; Streptophyta; Magnoliopsida; Malvales; Malvaceae
Description: long non-coding RNA (TCAC_LNC006134)
Source: RNAcentral